GAUCAGCCAUGCCGCGUGUGUGAAGAAGGCCUUUUGGUUGUAAAGCACUUUAAGCGAGGAGGAGGCUACCGAGAUUAAUACUCUUGGAUAGUGGACGUUACUCGCAGAAUAAGCACCGGCUAACUCUGUGCCAGCAGCCGCGGUAAUACAGAGGGUGCAAGCGUUAAUCGGAUUUACUGGGCGUAAAGCGCGCGUAGGUGGCCAAUUAAGUCAAAUGUGAAAUCCCCGAGCUUAACUUGGGAAUUGCAUUCGAUACUGGUUGGCUAGAGUAUGGGAGAGGAUGGUAGAAUUCCAGGUGUAGCGGUGAAAUGCGUAGAGAUCUGGAGGAAUACCGAUGGCGAAGGCAGCCAUCUGGCCUAAUACUGACACUGAGGUGCGAAAGCAUGGGGAGCAAACAGGAUUAGAUACCCUGGUAGUCCAUGCCGUAAACGAUGUCUACUAGCCGUUGGGGCCUUUGAGGCUUUAGUGGCGCAGCUAACGCGAUAAGUAGACCGCCUGGGGAGUACGGUCGCAAGACUAAAACUCAAAGG
Molecule: ribosomal RNA, 530 nt
Filed under: Acinetobacter lwoffii
Lineage: Bacteria; Pseudomonadati; Pseudomonadota; Gammaproteobacteria; Moraxellales; Moraxellaceae
Description: bacterial SSU rRNA
Rfam family: Bacterial small subunit ribosomal RNA
Source: RNAcentral